This is a long non-coding RNA of Triticum aestivum (bread wheat), 898 nucleotides long. RefSeq lists it as uncharacterized. NCBI's taxonomy places the organism in Eukaryota, Viridiplantae, Streptophyta, Magnoliopsida, Poales, Poaceae. The transcript has 4 exons. The record is from RefSeq and is a predicted model, not a curated record.
GGGGGAUCCUGCCGCGAUGGCCCUGGUGAUUUGCUACUGCAUCGUCUACUGCUUCAACCACGACGCCGUCAUCUACUGCUUGAACCACGAUGUCGGUUCUUCGUCGACCUCCACCACGCGCGCUGGCAUCCGUCCAUCUCCGGCCAUGGUGACCGCGGAUCUCCGACCAUGAUGGGGUAAGGAGUUGAAAGGCGCAGGUGGUCAGGCCUGCAAUGAGUGCGCCCUCCUGGUCUGCCGCCCUUGCUAUGAGUAUGAACAUGAGGAUGGCGUACAACAAGGAGUUGACGGCCUACUCAAGCGCCAAGGGAAGGCGGCAGGCUGGCAGCGCCACCAAGAGCCCAACACGAACCUCCAAUAUUGAGUCCUACCUGUAAUUCACGGAUAAGGUUGGUUGUGCCCCUCUGCUGGAGGAUCUCAGUCCAACUACUCUGGAUGCAUCUAUGACAUGGUGGACAAGGCAGUAGAAGCAUGUGACAUGGCAGCCAAGGGAGUUGUUUUGUGGGAUGAAGUGUUGGUAAAGACAACAAGCCCCAAGGAUCUGCAUAUGCGUUGCAAGUAACUCUGCCGCAACCGCGGCCGGCUGUGCUUCUUCCUUGGCUACAAACCACCUAGGUGAAUGGAACUCCGUUGAGGACUUCUACCCAUGUUGAAGAGCAGCUAGCUUUUGUACUGGUAGAGCGGUCUAUUUGUAGAUCCCAUUAUUUAUGAUUGUGUGGAUCUGGGUGAAGUUUGAAGUUCCUGAGUAUGCAAGAUUCGAUGGUUAAACUGGUUGAUGUGAUGUGAAUGAUUGUAUGAAAACUGGUUGUUGUGAUGUGAAUGAGUGUAUGUAGUUUCACGUGUUCUGUUCUGUAUAGCAUAUUAUAAUAAACUUAUUUUAGCUAUUAUUUGAAGAUUUUCA